Molecule: non-coding RNA, 29 nt
Filed under: Bombyx mori (domestic silkworm)
Lineage: Eukaryota; Metazoa; Arthropoda; Insecta; Lepidoptera; Bombycidae
Also listed under: 1 other name
Source: RNAcentral
UACUUGCCUUUUCUUUUGGCCGAUCCCGG